Pelobates cultripes (western spadefoot toad) is the source of this 432-nucleotide non-coding RNA. The record is from the annotation of a GenBank genome assembly. NCBI's taxonomy places the organism in Eukaryota, Metazoa, Chordata, Amphibia, Anura, Pelobatidae.
GUAAACUCACUGAGCAGGCCCUCAAUCCCUCUGUUACUGUGUCACUAUACCCCACUCCCUCUAACAUGUAAACUCACUGAGCAGGGCCUCAAUCCCUCUGUUACUGUCACUAUACCCCACUCCCUCUAACAUGUAAACUCACUGAGCAGGCCCUCAAUCCCUCUGUUACUGUGUCACUAUACCCCACUCCCUCUAACAUGUAAACUCACUGAGCAGGGCCUCAAUCCCUCUGUUACUGUGUCACUAUACCCCACUCCCUCUAACAUGUAAACUCACUGAGCAGGGCCCUCAAUCCCUCUGUUACUGUGUCACUAUACCCCACUCCCUCUAACAUGUAAACUCACUGAGCCAGGCCCUCAAUCCCUCUGUUACUGUGUCACUAUACCCCACUCCUCUAACAUGUAAACUCACUGAGCAGGCCCUCAAUCCCUC